UGGGGUGUCGCCAAGUGGUAAGGCUAUGGACUUUGACUCCGUCAUUCGUAGGUUCGAAUCCUGCCACCCCAG
Molecule: transfer RNA, 72 nt
Filed under: Tryblionella apiculata
Lineage: Eukaryota; Bacillariophyta; Bacillariophyceae; Bacillariales; Bacillariaceae
Description: tRNA-Gln
Rfam family: tRNA
About the family: Transfer RNA (tRNA) molecules are approximately 80 nucleotides in length.
Source: RNAcentral